This 1120-nucleotide long non-coding RNA is filed under the name Toxoplasma gondii VEG. Lineage: Eukaryota; Apicomplexa; Conoidasida; Eucoccidiorida; Sarcocystidae. The record is from RNAcentral.
GUGUAUACAUGUAUACAUGUGUAUGUAUGCCUAUCCACAGGUAGUUGCAUGCGGGUGCAUGUCGAGGUACGUAGGGGUGUCUAUGGCCGUAACGCUUUGAGACCUGUGUCACCUUGAAAACGUGUAUUUCCCAUCCGCCAUGUACAUUCGAUAUAGGAGCACAAAGGCAGACGCGUCCUCUCGGGAUUGGCACAGAGUAUCAGCGGGGAAAGUGAGAAAUCGACAAUGUAACUUCUGGCUUUGUUUAGGUGAUGAGAGAGAGAGCAGCAAACGACGGAUCCACUGCCUGUGUCCCACCUCUGUCCAGAGUUCCGUCGAGCGGGCAGCUUGGAUUUCGUUGAGCCUGCUGGGUGCUUGAGAAACUUCGAAGCGUAGAAGCUUUGACAGGAAGGUUUGUUUGCAAUCCUUGCCUUCAUUCGUGGGGAUUCACACUCGCUGUCCUUUAAGCCGAUGCAUGCAGCGCAGUGACAGCGUUCGUCAAGCUUCGGCCUCAGGCACUCAUUCGCUCCGCAAGUCUCGCAGUGAGGUCGGAGGAGAAGCUCCGGAGUCCGUCUGGCCGUUGAAGUGCGUGCUCUCGACAGGGGCACUGUUCCGGUUGAGACGUCUCCUUUCGAUUCCACCUUAGCCACAGGAUUCCUACCGUUGUUAAACAAACACGGGGAAAAGGGUACCUGGGUUCGGAUGCUUCAAGCCCAAGGGGUAAGAAACGGUGUUGGAGAAGCUCGGCAAGCAGGAGGACAGUGCCGGCAUUCGCACGUAUCCUGACACUUUGUGUUGGACGUUCUGUCCUGGCGGCCUAGAUCAGUCUAUACGCAAUGAUGGUGUACAGCGAUGAUAAUGUUUUUCUUUUCUAUAUGUUCUCAAACAAUCUACCCCGAGGACUUUUGGAUAUAACGGCGUCUCUUCCAGUUCUUGUCGACGUCUGCUGUCGGGAAUUUAAUCCUUUUUUUUCACAGGAACAUUGCCAGCAACAAUGCUUGGGGGUGUUGAUUCUUCCACCGUGUUUUACUGAUUACGUGUCUAUCCUUCAAUAAAAACCGAGACGAAUGUGUAUACAUACACAGCUGUGCUAUCGAUACGCGUUUCUUCUGCCACGCAUCUAUCAUUGUUUAAGUAUGGC